CCUACGGGAGGCAGCAGUGGGGAAUAUUGGACAAUGGGGGCAACCCUGAUCCAGCCAUGCCGCGUGUGUGAAGAAGGCCCUCGGGUUGUAAAGCACUUUCAGUGAGGAAGAACGCCUGGUGGUUAAUACCCAUCAGGAAAGACAUCACUCACAGAAGAAGCACCGGCUAACUCCGUGCCAGCAGCCGCGGUAAUACGGAGGGUGCGAGCGUUAAUCGGAAUUACUGGGCGUAAAGCGCGCGUAGGUGGCUUGAUAAGCCGGUUGUGAAAGCCCCGGGCUCAACCUGGGAACGGCAUCCGGAACUGUCAAGCUAGAGUGCAGGAGAGGAAGGUAGAAUUCCCGGUGUAGCGGUGAAAUGCGUAGAGAUCGGGAGGAAUACCAGUGGCGAAGGCGGCCUUCUGGACUGACACUGCCACUGAGGUGCGAAAGCGUGGGUAGCAAACAGGAUUAGAUACCCCAGUAGUC
Molecule: ribosomal RNA, 465 nt
Filed under: Vreelandella stevensii
Lineage: Bacteria; Pseudomonadati; Pseudomonadota; Gammaproteobacteria; Oceanospirillales; Halomonadaceae
Description: partial 16S ribosomal RNA
Rfam family: Bacterial small subunit ribosomal RNA
Source: RNAcentral